Triticum dicoccoides is the source of this 614-nucleotide long non-coding RNA. RefSeq lists it as uncharacterized. NCBI's taxonomy places the organism in Eukaryota, Viridiplantae, Streptophyta, Magnoliopsida, Poales, Poaceae. The transcript has 4 exons. The record is from RefSeq and is a predicted model, not a curated record.
GCCCUUGUUGCUCUGUUGUUCGUGUUGCUCCCUUCCUCUGUAGAUGACAAUCCUCUGCCGCAGGAGAACACACCCCCGAAGGAUGUGUUCGAGAACCUGAGACGCAGCGGCGACGACCUCAUUGCAGACCAGGAGCAACAGCAUCCAGAUCUUCAGCUCCAGAAGGAGGAGAGCAAGUUCUCGGGGUCCAUGUGAAAUCUGCUCUCAACUUGUCAACAGAGGGAUGAUCAUCCUCUCUGCGGCAGGAGAACACACCCAUGGAGGAGGUUUGAUGGCCUACUCUACACCAGCACCUCCAAAUCUUCGGCUCCAGGAGGAGGUUUCAGAGGGCGAAGUUGGUCAUCAUCAACCUGGGCCUCUACAUGAAGAAGGCGGCGGACGUAUUCUGGAUCUCGUUGGUGCCGAAAGGCUCAUUGAGGACGCGAAGCUGCAGUACUGAACCUGGUUUUCCUAGUGUAUAGUGCUGGACGUAGGCCUAUCUGGGAUGGUCUGUAAUGUUUCUCGCCUCCUUGGGGAGUUGUUGUUCCUUCCUUGCUGAGAUGAUUGAUGUUUUAGGAGAGUUGUUGUUGCUUUCUAUUUACAUGUUGUUGUGGACAUGUGGAUACAUACAUGUA